RNAcentral lists this ribosomal RNA (119 nucleotides) under Lepisosteus oculatus (spotted gar). Lineage: Eukaryota; Metazoa; Chordata; Actinopteri; Semionotiformes; Lepisosteidae. The record is from RNAcentral.
GCUGGUAGUUAUAUCACCCUGCAACUCACAACUGGCUGUCCCUUGAAGCUCAGCAGGUGUGAGCCUGACCAGUACCUGGAUGGGAGACCUCCAGGAAAAAACUAAGGUUGCUGCUGGCA